AAGAGGGGCAUCGGCCACUGCGGCUCGUCAGCGUCUGCGUCGUGAGAACGGCGAGCACGCCGGCAACAUCCGGUCGGCGUUGGUACGAUCCGACGGCGAAGAAGAGAGAGCUUCAUCGCCCUCGGGAACCUGUUCGAAGAUGGAUCCAAGCCAUUCCAAGGGUGGCAUUUCAUAUCUCAUACGUUAAUACGAACCCUCUCCCUGUUCAGUCAUUCUGAAGGAGUCGCAGCGGAGAAGAGAACGAAUGGGUUUAAUUGCAUUGAGAGGGCAAGCUUCCCGGCAUUGUGAAAAUAGAGGGACACCUUAUUCCAUAAGUACACAUGAAUUGAAGCUGCAAAGCUCUUAUGUCAGUGUUAAGAUACUCAAAUGGACUUAAUUUCUCCAAAUUCGUGUUCUCGCAAUGCAUAGAACUAGAACUGGGAGUGACUGAUGAAAGCAGCAGCAAAAAGAAGCUGCUGAUCUCCAAAAUCAGUUCAAAAUGAUACAUAAAUGAAUACAAUUUGUUGACAUUGUUGGGGUGAUUCAGCAGCAGCUAGAGUUGCAGGGAAGCUCGAUCGAUAAUGGAUCAUAAGAAAACAAUUCAUAUUGAAGAUCAUCAAGAAAGUAAGUUCUACAAAGAAGGCUGGUUUUCAGCACAAUUUGCUCUUGCUCUCCUAUCGAAGUCUAACUCAAGCAUUGAAAAGAUUUUGUCGGAUCUCUCUGGCGCCCUCGUAUUUGUCUUAUUUCUCGUAGAUUCGCCAUGUCAGCAGAGGAAGAUUCAAGUUUAAGACUUUUUUAGCUAUUCAAACCCAUAAAGUUUAUUCGUUGUGUGUUGAA
Zingiber officinale is the source of this 816-nucleotide long non-coding RNA. RefSeq lists it as uncharacterized. NCBI's taxonomy places the organism in Eukaryota, Viridiplantae, Streptophyta, Magnoliopsida, Zingiberales, Zingiberaceae. The transcript is spliced from 3 exons. The record is from RefSeq and is a predicted model, not a curated record.